GAUGAACGCUGGCGGCGUGCCUAAUACAUGCAAGUCGAGCGAACAGACGAGGAGCUUGCUCCUCUGACGUUAGCGGCGGACGGGUGAGUAACACGUGGAUAACCUACCUAUAAGACUGGGAUAACUUCGGGAAACCGGAGCUAAUACCGGAUAAUAUAUUGAACCGCACGGUUCAAUAGUGAAAGACGGUUUUGCUGUCACUUAUAGAUGGAUCCGCGCUGCAUUAGCUAGUUGGUAAGGUAACGGCUUACCAAGGCAACGAUGCGUAGCCGACCUGAGAGGGUGAUCGGCCACACUGGAACUGAGACACGGUCCAGACUCCUACGGGAGGCAGCAGUAGGGAAUCUUCCGCAAUGGGCGAAAGCCUGACGGAGCAACGCCGCGUGAGUGAUGAAGGUCUUCGGAUCGUAAAACUCUGUUAUUAGGGAAGAACAAAUGUGUAAGUAACUAUGCACGUCUUGACGGUACCUAAUCAGAAAGCCACGGCUAACUACGUG
This 497-nucleotide ribosomal RNA is filed under the name uncultured bacterium. RNAcentral describes it as "partial 16S ribosomal RNA". It matches the Rfam family "Bacterial small subunit ribosomal RNA", at positions 28 to 507 of the family's 1533-position model. The record is from RNAcentral.